This is a long non-coding RNA of Cryptomeria japonica (Japanese cedar), 1144 nucleotides long. RefSeq lists it as uncharacterized. The record is from RefSeq and is a predicted model, not a curated record. The transcript is spliced from 3 exons. Lineage: Eukaryota; Viridiplantae; Streptophyta; Pinopsida; Cupressales; Cupressaceae.
UGGUAGAACAUGGUUGGUACCAUAACUAUUUGUGAGGCAGGGUUCAAAGCCCUUUCUAAAAUUGACUUAAGUAGCUCAAUUUUGACUGAAUCGGUGGCUGAUGUAAAAGCCACACUAGAGGACCAUUGUAAGAUAUGGAGCAAGAAGGGUUGCACCAUCAUGACCGAGGGUUGGACCAAUAGGAGGAAUAUGAUGCCCUUGAAUUUCCUUGUUUCUUGUGCAGGUGGCACCAUGUUCUUCAAGUCCAAUGGUGCUUCCGCACAAUAAAAAAAUGCCACAUUCCUAUGUGAGGUUAUAGAAGAAGUCAUACUUGAGGUGGGUGAGGAAAAUGUAGUUCAAGAGGUGACCGAUAACACAACAAACUAUGUUGUUGCUGGUAGACUUUUGAUGGAGAGGCACCCAACUAUAUUUUUGUCUCUAUGUGCCACCCAUUGCCUUGUCCACAUAUUGGAGGAUAUAUGCAAGCUUCCAUGGAUUAGGACGUGUAAAUAAGGCAAAAAAUAAUUGGAAAUUUAUGUACAAUCACGUAUGGGUCCUUUGCCUAAUGAUGCAAUACAUGAGGCAGAAGGAGCUGGCUCAUUCUAGAAUCACAUUACAAUCCUUGAUUUGAUGAAAGGCAGGUUUGAGGCGUAUGUUUGUUGGUGAGUGGACUUCCUCAUCCUUUGCUACGACUGUUGCAGGGAUUUAUGUGAUAGAUUGCAUAUUUGAUGAGCUAGGCUUUUGGGCCUCUUGUGCAGAGAUUGUGAAGUCGAUUGAGCCCUUGUGUGGUCUUCUACGAGUUGCUGAUGGGGAGAAGUCCUCAAUGAGCUACACAUAUGAGGGCAUGGAUAGGGCCAAGAGGCCAUUAGAUCCGUCUAUGUAGGAGAUGAGAGUAAUUCUCGUCCAUUUGGGAGAUCACUAAUAGGAGGUGGCACCUCCAACUUCACAAGCCCUUCUAUGCAAUCGCUUAUUACCUCAUUCCGACAUUCCAUAUUCGUCUUGAUUUCAAGGCGGAUGAGGAGGUUCUUAAUGGGCUCUGCUUAGUGAUAGAGAGGAUGUCGCCAGGUGAUAGCAACACUAUAAUGCACGAAAUGGAAACAUCUUCUAACACAAAAGAGGAGGCCUUCUCUCCUCAAAUUUGCAAAGAUAGUUGGACAAAAUUGCA